CCUACGGGUGGCAGCAGUGAGGAAUAUUGGUCAAUGGCCGCAGGGCUGAACCAGCCAAGUCGCGUGAGGGAUGACGGUCCUAUGGAUUGUAAACCUCUUUUGUCAGGGAGCAAAGGGCGCCACGUGUGGCGUUUUGCGAGUACCUGAAGAAAAAGCAUCGGCUAACUCCGUGCCAGCAGCCGCGGUAAUACGGAGGAUGCGAGCGUUAUCCGGAUUUAUUGGGUUUAAAGGGUGCGCAGGCGGUCUGUUAAGUCAGCGGUCAAAGCCCGGGGCUCAACCCCGGCCCGCCGUUGAAACUGGCAGUCUCGAGUUGGAGAGAAGUAUGCGGAAUGCGCGGUGUAGCGGUGAAAUGCAUAGAUAUCGCGCAGAACUCCGAUUGCGAAGGCAGCAUGCCGGCUCCACACUGACGCUGAGGCACGAAAGCGUGGGUAUCGAACAGGAUUAGAUACCCCAGUAGUC
RNAcentral lists this ribosomal RNA (459 nucleotides) under uncultured bacterium. RNAcentral's name for it is "partial 16S ribosomal RNA". It matches the Rfam family "Bacterial small subunit ribosomal RNA", at positions 338 to 795 of the family's 1533-position model. The record is from RNAcentral.